RNAcentral lists this ribosomal RNA (446 nucleotides) under uncultured bacterium. RNAcentral describes it as "partial 16S ribosomal RNA". It matches the Rfam family "Bacterial small subunit ribosomal RNA", at positions 338 to 795 of the family's 1533-position model. The record is from RNAcentral.
CCUACGGUCGGCAGCAGUCGAGAAUCAUUCACAAUGGGGGAAACCCUGAUGGUGCGACGCCGCGUGGGGGAAUGAAGGUCUUCGGAUUGUAAACCCCUGUCAUGUGGGAGCAAAUUAAAAAGAUAGUACCACAAGAGGAAGAGACGGCUAACUCUGUGCCAGCAGCCGCGGUAAUACAGAGGUCUCAAGCGUUGUUCGGAAUCACUGGGCGUAAAGCGUGCGUAGGCUGUUUCGUAAGUCGUGUGUGAAAGGCGCGGGCUCAACCCGCGGACGGCACAUGAUACUGCGAGACUGGAGUAAUGGAGGGGGAAGCGGAAUUCUCGGUGUAGCAGUGAAAUGCGUAGAUAUCGAGAGGAACACUCGUGGCGAAGGCGGGUUCCUGGACAUUAACUGACGCUGAGGCACGAAGGCCAGGGGAGCGAAAGGGAUUAGAUACCCGAGUAGUC